This 439-nucleotide ribosomal RNA is filed under the name uncultured bacterium. RNAcentral's name for it is "partial 16S ribosomal RNA". It matches the Rfam family "Bacterial small subunit ribosomal RNA", at positions 339 to 795 of the family's 1533-position model. The record is from RNAcentral.
CUACGGGGUGCUGCAGUGAGGAAUAUUGCACAAUGGGGGGAACCCUGAUGCAGCAACGCCGCGUGGAGGAUGACGCAUUUCGGUGUGUAAACUCCUUUUAUAUGUCAAGAAAAUGACGGUAGCAUAUGAAUAAGCACCGGCUAACUCCGUGCCAGCAGCCGCGGUAAUACGGAGGGUGCAAGCGUUACUCGGAAUCACUGGGCGUAAAGGACGCGUAGGCGGGUUGGAAAGUCAGGUGUGAAAUCCUACAGCUUAACUGUAGAACUGCACUUGAAACUUCUAAUCUAGAGUAUGGGAGGGGGAGAUGGAAUUAGUGGUGUAGGGGUAAAAUCCGUAGAUAUCACUAGGAAUACCUAAAGCGAAGGCGAUCUCCUGGAACAUUACUGACGCUAAGGCGUGAAAGCGUGGGGUGCAAACAGGAUUAGAUACCCUGGUAGUC